GAUGAAGAACGCAGCGAAAUGCGAUAAGUAAUGUGAAUUGCAGAAUUCAGUGAAUCAUCGAAUCUUUGAACGCACAUUGCGCCCCUUGGUAUUCCGAGGGGCAUGCCUGUUCGAGCGUCAUUUCACCACUCAAGCCUCGCUUGGUAUUGGGCGCCGCGGUGUUCCGCGCGCCUCAAAGUCUCCGGCUGAGCUGUCCGUCUCUAAGCGUUGUGAUUUCAUUAAUCGCUUCGGAGCGCGGGCGGUCGCGGCCGUUAAAUCUUUCAUAAGGUUGACCUCGGAUCAGGUAGGGAUACCCGCUGAACUUAAGCAUAUCAAUAAGCGGAGGA
RNAcentral lists this unclassified non-coding RNA (326 nucleotides) under soil metagenome. Its description in RNAcentral is "partial contains 5.8S ribosomal RNA, internal transcribed spacer 2, and large subunit ribosomal RNA". The stretch from base 1 to 120 matches the Rfam family "5.8S ribosomal RNA", at positions 35 to 154 of the family's 154-position model. The record is from RNAcentral.